GCAGUCGAACGAACUCUGGUAUUGAUUGGUGCUUGCAUCAUGAUUUACAUUUGAGUGAGUGGCGAACUGGUGAGUAACACGUGGGAAACCUGCCCAGAAGCGGGGGAUAACACCUGGAAACAGAUGCUAAUACCGCAUAACAACUUGGACCGCAUGGUCCGAGCUUGAAAGAUGGCUUCGGCUAUCACUUUUGGAUGGUCCCGCGGCGUAUUAGCUAGAUGGUGGGGUAACGGCUCACCAUGGCAAUGAUACGUAGCCGACCUGAGAGGGUAAUCGGCCACAUUGGGACUGAGACACGGCCCAAACUCCUACGGGAGGCAGCAGUAGGGAAUCUUCCACAAUGGACGAAAGUCUGAUGGAGCAACGCCGCGUGAGUGAAGAAGGGUUUCGGCUCGUAAAACUCUGUUGUUAAAGAAGAACAUAUCUGAGAGUAACUGUUCAGGUAUUGACGGUAUUUAACCAGAAAGCCACGGCUAACUACGUGCCAGCAGCCGCGGUAAUACGUAGGUGGCAAGCGUUGUCCGGAUUUAUUGGGCGUAAAGCGAGCGCAGGCGGUUUUUUAAGUCUGAUGUGAAAGCCUUCGGCUCAACCGAAGAAGUGCAUCGGAAACUGGGAAACUUGAGUGCAGAAGAGGACAGUGGAACUCCAUGUGUAGCGGUGAAAUGCGUAGAUAUAUGGAAGAACACCAGUGGCGAAGGCGGCUGUCUGGUCUGUAACUGACGCUGAGGCUCGAAAGUAUGGGUAGCAAACAGGAUUAGAUACCCUGGUAGUCCAUACCGUAAACGAUGAAUGCUAAGUGUUGGAGGGUUUCCGCCCUUCAGUGCUGCAGCUAACGCAUUAAGCAUUCCGCCUGGGGAGUACGGCCGCAAGGCUGAAACUCAAAGGAAUUGACGGGGGCCCGCACAAGCGGUGGAGCAUGUGGUUUAAUUCGAAGCUACGCGAAGAACCUUACCAGGUCUUGACAUACUAUGCAAAUCUAAGAGAUUAGACGUUCCCUUCGGGGACAUGGAUACAGGUGGUGCAUGGUUGUCGUCAGCUCGUGUCGUGAGAUGUUGGGUUAAGUCCCGCAACGAGCGCAACCCUUAUUAUCAGUUGCCAGCAUUAAGUUGGGCACUCUGGUGAGACUGCCGGUGACAAACCGGAGGAAGGUGGGGAUGACGUCAAAUCAUCAUGCCCCUUAUGACCUGGGCUACACACGUGCUACAAUGGAUGGUACAACGAGUUGCGAACUCGCGAGAGUAAGCUAAUCUCUUAAAGCCAUUCUCAGUUCGGAUUGUAGGCUGCAACUCGCCUACAUGAAGUCGGAAUCGCUAGUAAUCGCGGAUCAGCAUGCCGCGGUGAAUACGUUCCCGGGCCUUGUACACACCGCCCGUCACACCAUGAGAGUUUGUAACACCCAAAGUCGGUGGGGUAACCUU
This 1418-nucleotide ribosomal RNA is filed under the name Lactiplantibacillus plantarum. Its description in RNAcentral is "bacterial SSU rRNA". It matches the Rfam family "Bacterial small subunit ribosomal RNA". The record is from RNAcentral. Lineage: Bacteria; Bacillati; Bacillota; Bacilli; Lactobacillales; Lactobacillaceae.